Sapajus apella (tufted capuchin) is the source of this 118-nucleotide long non-coding RNA. RefSeq lists it as uncharacterized. NCBI's taxonomy places the organism in Eukaryota, Metazoa, Chordata, Mammalia, Primates, Cebidae. The transcript has 2 exons. The record is from RefSeq and is a predicted model, not a curated record.
CUAUAAUCGCAGCACUUUGGGAGGCUAAGGUGGGUGGAUCAUCUGAAAUCAGGACUUUGAGACCAGCCUAGUCAACAUGGUGAAACCCUGCCUCUACUAAAAAUAUAAAAAUCAAUCA